RNAcentral lists this unclassified non-coding RNA (224 nucleotides) under Hevea brasiliensis (rubber tree). The record is from RNAcentral. Lineage: Eukaryota; Viridiplantae; Streptophyta; Magnoliopsida; Malpighiales; Euphorbiaceae.
GUCUUAUCAACUUGGAAGUAUGAGUCUCGUGCAUGACUAAACAUCCUUUUCUGAAAUGAUUAUUAAUUAUUUUAGUAAAGAGAGGGUUGAAAUAACUUUAGUGACAACCAAAAGAAAUCAGAGAACCAUGUAGAAACUACAUUCCAAAAUUAUGACUACAUCAAGGGGCCCACUAGUGAAUAUUCACAGACCAAUAUUAUGGAUUGAAAAACCAGGGAGCCAAA